AUUUAAAACCGGAUGUUAUAGUAACAAUAUUCUCUUCUCAUCCUUAUAUCUUCCCCUCCUCCACUCAUGGUUUGAUCAAUGUUUUCGAAUAUUGGACAACAAAAAAAAAAACUUUAAAUUAUGACAAUUAAUUUCCGCCAAAUAUUCCCCAAAGUCAAAUUUAAACUAAUUUCAAGGCAUUUAAAUUAUUCACCACAAAAUCUACAUAGCUGCGAUGCACAAGCGAUGGUGGGUGAGAAAGAGAGAGAGAGAGAUGGUGCGCCCACGCUAAAUAGAAUGCUUUAAAUAAAUCAAUGUGCCUCGGAAAAUAUAUCAUCAAAAUCCUUGAGGAAUUUUUGCCGAGUCAUUAAUGUGUGCUGCCACAAAUACAAACAGCAAAACCGGAAAUAUUCGCAAACUUGCAAAAACCGGUAGGCAUCUGAGUAUCUCGUUUGGAUAUUCGAGAACAGUCUUAAAUUUCUGGGAAAAUUGCUGCCGUGUGGAGGAGUUGAGAAGGAGUGUGAAAUUAACACCAAGAAGUAAAACUAAACUUGUAAAAAUAGGAAGCGAUUAAUACGACGAUGUUAAUUACCAAAGUGAGGGGAAUAUUAGUCAAUAGCAUACAACUCCAUAUGACUACACUUUGCAAUAUUAAUUACAUACCUCUCGUGAUCUAAUUUGGAACAGAUUGGAGUGACCAGUCAACUUGGAGAAUGUAAAGGGCGAUUGUUUUCUAUUAUCUAUUUUUCCAGCACUCUUUUUGUUUCAACGCCUUCAUUUUGGUCUAUACUUAAGGCGUGAAUUGUCUUACGAAAGAACAACGCUUGCAAAUCAUUGAAUUUUAUUCCUUAUUAUGGUCAGUUUAAUCGAUCAAAUAAAGUGGUUAUUCGCUUCCGUAGAGUAUGAACUGAAGAAAACAGCGCAGCUGUAUCGCCCAGUUGGCAGCAGUUGGGCCUUUCUUACUCAACGGCGUGGAUAAUGCUGGGGAAGAAUUUAGUUGUGAAGCCUUUCAAAAUACAGCUAUUCACCGAAUCGGUAGAAAUUUCUGAAUAGAAAUAAACACUUUCUGGAAUAUUUCUAUUUUAAAUUCUUUGACCUAAACAAAUCUAUAAAAUAUGUGUAUAUUUGCACGUGCAUAUAUGAACGUUUUUCAAUCAAAUGGGCUGUAAUUUUGAAUUCGUAACUUUUAGAAAUCAAGCAUUUAGUUAUGUCCACCUCAUGAAUGAGCGCAACUUAACUUAUCUUUUAUGAUCACAAAAUAUUGACCAUUUCCUGGCCGAAAAAGUAAAAUUUUUUAAAUUUGCCUGGCUACAUCGGUUUUCGGUUU
Musca domestica (house fly) is the source of this 1306-nucleotide long non-coding RNA. RefSeq lists it as uncharacterized. The transcript has 3 exons. The record is from RefSeq and is a predicted model, not a curated record. Lineage: Eukaryota; Metazoa; Arthropoda; Insecta; Diptera; Muscidae.